RNAcentral lists this ribosomal RNA (505 nucleotides) under uncultured bacterium. Its description in RNAcentral is "partial 16S ribosomal RNA". It matches the Rfam family "Bacterial small subunit ribosomal RNA", at positions 28 to 507 of the family's 1533-position model. The record is from RNAcentral.
GACGGACGCUGGCGGCGUGCCUAAUACAUGCAAGUAGAACGCACAGUUUAUACCGUAGCUUGCUACACCAUAGACUGUGAGUUGCGAACGGGUGAGUAACGCGUAGGUAACCUGCCUGGUAGCGGGGGAUAACUAUUGGAAACGAUAGCUAAUACCGCAUAAUAUUGAUUAUUGCAUGAUAAUUAAUUGAAAGGUGCAAUUGCACCACUACCAGAUGGACCUGCGUUGUAUUAGCUAGUAGGUGAGGUAACGGCUCACCUAGGCGACGAUACAUAGCCGACCUGAGAGGGUGAUCGGCCACACUGGGACUGAGACACGGCCCAGACUCCUACGGGAGGCAGCAGUAGGGAAUCUUCGGCAAUGGACGAAAGUCUGACCGAGCAACGCCGCGUGAGUGAAGAAGGUUUUCGGAUCGUAAAGCUCUGUUGUAAGAGAAGAACGGGUGUGAGAGUGGAAAGUUCACACUGUGACGGUAUCUUACCAGAAAGGGACGGCUAACUACGUG